Molecule: non-coding RNA, 96 nt
Filed under: Clostridium sp.
Lineage: Bacteria; Bacillati; Bacillota; Clostridia; Eubacteriales; Clostridiaceae
Also listed under: 1 other name
Description: Guanine sequence
Rfam family: Purine riboswitch aptamer
About the family: Riboswitches are metabolite binding domains within certain messenger RNAs that serve as precision sensors for their corresponding targets. Allosteric rearrangement of mRNA structure is mediated by ligand binding, and this results in modulation of gene expression. A class of riboswitches that selectively recognises guanine and becomes saturated at concentrations as low as 5 nM.
Source: RNAcentral
AUAAUAAAAUUUAAGACUACUUAUAUAGGUUCAUAAUCGGAUGGACGUUUCUACCAACUACCGGAAUAGUUGACUAUAAGUAUCUGCAGAGGUAUC